This 333-nucleotide ribosomal RNA is filed under the name uncultured eukaryote. Its description in RNAcentral is "partial 18S ribosomal RNA". It matches the Rfam family "Eukaryotic small subunit ribosomal RNA", at positions 1470 to 1796 of the family's 1831-position model. The record is from RNAcentral.
CCCUUAGAUGUUCUGGGCCGCACGCGCGCUACACUGACUGGUUCAUCGAGUAUACAACCUUGACUGAUAGGUCUGGGUAAUCUUCUCAAAGCCAGUCGUGCUGGGGAUAGAUUAUUGUAAUUUUUAAUCUUCAACGAGGAAUUCCUAGUAAACGCGAGUCAUCAACUCGCAUUGAUUACGUCCCUGCCCUUUGUACACACCGCCCGUCGCUACUACCGAUUGAAUGGUUUAGUGAGAUCUUCGGAUUGGCGCCACUGCGGCUCAGCAAUGGGCUCGGUGGAUGCCGAAAAGUUGAUCAAACUUGAUCAUUUAGAGGAAGUAAAAGUCGUAACA